UACGUAGGGGGCAAGCGUUGUCCGGAAUCAUUGGGCGUAAAGAGCGCGUAGGCGGUCCGAUAAGUCGGUUGUGAAAACUGGGGGCUCAACCCUCAGAGGCCGACCGAUACUGUCGGGCUAGAGUCCGGAAGAGGCGAGUGGAAUUCCUGGUGUAGCGGUGAAAUGCGCAGAUAUCAGGAGGAACACCGGUGGCGAAGGCGGGUCUCUGGGCAGUAACUGACGCUGAGGAGCGAAAGCGUGGGGAGCGAACAGG
This 253-nucleotide ribosomal RNA is filed under the name uncultured bacterium. RNAcentral describes it as "partial 16S ribosomal RNA". It matches the Rfam family "Bacterial small subunit ribosomal RNA", at positions 524 to 776 of the family's 1533-position model. The record is from RNAcentral.